RNAcentral lists this ribosomal RNA (301 nucleotides) under uncultured bacterium. RNAcentral describes it as "partial 16S ribosomal RNA". It matches the Rfam family "Bacterial small subunit ribosomal RNA", at positions 509 to 807 of the family's 1533-position model. The record is from RNAcentral.
CAGCAGCCACGGUAAUACGAGGGGGGCAAGCGUUGUUCGGAAUUAUUGGGCGUAAAGGGUGCGUAGGCGGCUUGACAAGUCUUGUGUGAAAUCUAUGGGCUCAACCCAUAGUCUGCACGGGAAACUGUCGGGCUUGAGAAUGGGAGAGGUGAGUGGAAUUUCCGGUGUAGCGGUGAAAUGCGUAGAUAUCGGAAGGAACACCUGUGGCGAAAGCGGCUCACUGGACCAUUUCUGACGCUGAUGCACGAAAGCUAGGGGAGCAAACAGGAUUAGAGACCCCCGUAGUCCCUGUCUCUUAUAC